Molecule: long non-coding RNA, 1675 nt
Organism: Oncorhynchus keta (chum salmon)
Lineage: Eukaryota; Metazoa; Chordata; Actinopteri; Salmoniformes; Salmonidae
Exons: 4
Source: RefSeq, a predicted model, not a curated record
CUGGAGUACAGACCCAGUUCAGGGGGUCCAGAACAUUAUGAAUGGGAUGGCCGAGGUGGAGUACAGACCCAGUUCAGGGGGUCCAGAACAUUAUGAAUGGGAUGGCCAAGGUGGAGUACAGACCCAGUUCAGGGGGUCCAGAACAUUAUGAAUGGGAUGGCCGAGGUGGCGUACAGACCCAGUUCAGGGGGUCCAGAACAUUAUGAAUGGGAUGGCCGAGGUGGCGUACAGACCCAGUUCAGGGGGUCCAGAACAUUAUGAAUGGGAUGGCCGAGGUGGCGUACAGACCCAGUUCAGGGGGUCCAGAACAUUAUGAAUGGGAUGGCCAAGGUGGAGUACAGACCCAGUUCAGGGGGUCCAGAACAUUAUGAAUGGGAUGGCCAAGGUGGAGUACAGACCCAGUUCAGGGGGUCCAGAACAUUAUGAAUGGGAUGGCCGAGGUGGGGUACAGACCCAGUUCAGGGGGUCCAGAACAUUAUGAAUGGGAUGGCCGAGGUGGCGUACAGACCCAGUUCAGGGGGUCCAGAACAUUAUGAAUGGGAUGGCCGAGGUGGCGUACAGACCCAGUUCAGGGGGUCCAGAACAUUAUGAAUGGGAUGGCCGAGGUGGCGUACAGACCCAGUUCAGGGGGUCCAGAACAUUAUGAAUGGGAUGGCCGAGGUGGCGUACAGACCCAGUUCAGGGGGUCCAGAACAUUAUGAAUGGGAUGGCCGAGGUGGUGUACAGACCCAGUUCAGGGGGUCCAGAACAUUAUGAAUGGGAUGGCCGAGGUGGGGUACAGACCCAGUUCAGGGGGUCCAGAACAUUAUGAAUGGGAUGGCCGAGGUGGAGUACAGACCCAGUUCAGGGGGUCCAGAACAUUAUGAAUGGGAUGGCCGAGGUGGCGUACAGACCCAGUUCAGGGGGUCCAGAACAUUAUGAAUGGGAUGGCCGAGGUGGAGUACAGACCCAGUUCAGGGGGUCCAGAACAUUAUGAAUGGGAUGGCCGAGGUGGAGUACAGACCCAGUUCAGGGGGUCCAGAACAUUAUGAAUGGGAUGGCCGAGGUGGAGUACAGACCCAGUUCAGGGGGUCCAGAACAUUAUGAAUGGGAUGGCCGAGGUGGAGUACAGACCCAGUUCAGGGGGUCCAGAACAUUAUGAAUGGGAUGGCCAAGGUGGAGUACAGACCCAGUUCAGGGGGUCCAGAACAUUAUGAAUGGGAUGGCCGAGGUGGCGUACAGACCCAGUUCAGGGGGUCCAGAACAUUUUGAACCUUAAUCGUUGCACGGUGGAUUGUUUUUCUUCAGUAUAUUUAUUAUAAUGGUUCAACACACGAAAGGCUUCAGAUUAGGUUUGGUCCAUUUCCCUGUUCAAAUCAAUUCCAACGUCUUGUUAGUGUAUGCAAUCGGUAAAUUCACUUGAAAGUGCCAUUCAGAGGUCGAAUUAUACUGUGAUAUUUGAAGGCUCUAUGUUUUUAUCCCUCCAAUGUAAAAAUACAUCGGCUUUAUAGUAAAGACAUAAUGGGUCAACACAACCAGUCAUGAUGUUUUCAUCUGAUUGUGAAAAACAAAUCACUUCAAAAGUAGAUGAAGUAGGUUACCUGCACAAGUCCGGCAUCCCAACAGUCCGGCAUCCCAACAGUCCGGCAUCCCAACAGUCCGGCAUCCCAACAGUCCGGCAUCCCAACAGUCCGGC